CCCUACUGCUAUCGGGGUGGGACUAAGACAUGCGAGUUGUGCGUCUCUAAGCUAUGGUAGAGACGCGGCGUACGGCUCAGUAACACGUGGCUAACCUACCCUUAGGACGGGGACAACCCCGGGAAACUGGGGCUAAUACCUGAUAGGUGAGGAGGCCUGGAAUGGUUCUUCGCUGAAAAGGCGUUGAAACCAUGCUUUUCAGCGUCGCCUAAGGAUGGGGCCGCGUCCGAUCAGGUUGUUGGUGGGGUAACGGCUCACCAAGCCUAUAACCGGUACGGGCCGUGAGAGCGGGAGCCCGGAGAUGGGCACUGAGACAAGGGCCCAGGCCCUACGGGGCGCAGCAGUCGCGAAAACUCCGCAAUGCGCGAAAGCGUGACGGGGCUACCCCGAGUGCCGUCCGCUGAGGAUGGCUUUUCCCCGGUGUAAUGAGCCGGGGGAAUAAGGAGAGGGCAAGUCUGGUGUCAGCCGCCGCGGUAAUACCAGCUCUCCGAGUGGUAGGGACGAUUAUUGGGCUUAAAGCGUCCGUAGCCGGCUUAGCAAGUCUUCUGUUAAAUUCAGCGACCUAAUCGUUGAGCCGCGGGAGAUACUACUAGGCUAGGAGGCGGGAGAGGCCGACGGUAUUCUCGGGGUAGGGGUGAAAUCCUAUAAUCCCGGGAGGACCACCAGUGGCGAAGGCUGUCGGCUAGAACGCGCUCGACGGUGAGGGACGAAAGCUGGGGGAGCGAACCGGAUUAGAUACCCGGGUAGUCCCAGCUGUAAACGAUGCGGGCUAGGUGUUGGGGUGGCCACGAGCCACUUCAGUGCCGCAGGGAAGCCAUUAAGCCCGCCGCCUGGGGAGUACGGCCGCAAGGCUGAAACUUAAAGGAAUUGGCGGGGGAGCACCACAAGGCGUGAAGCUUGCGGUUC
RNAcentral lists this ribosomal RNA (906 nucleotides) under uncultured archaeon. RNAcentral describes it as "bacterial SSU rRNA". It matches the Rfam family "Archaeal small subunit ribosomal RNA", at positions 21 to 903 of the family's 1478-position model. The record is from RNAcentral.